UGGUAUGAUAGGAUUCCAAACACAUGAAUACUUGUUAUCACCUAUAAAUCAAUUCAAAACUUACUUUUUUGGACAAAAAACUCAUGUAUUGCAUUAAUAGGUUGGUUUUUCUGCAGAGAGAGUUGGACACUACUAUGUACCCCAAAGCUGGCUGCGUUUAGUUGAAAUAAAACCUAUAGGUUGUGCCUUCAUUGAAGUGCUUUGGUUGUGUAGCUUGGGGACUCGAGCCUCAACCACCGGGAAGAAAGCUUGGACCACACCAGACGGUGCAAUGUCUCAUGCCAUUAAAUUUGGUAGCUUGGAGGCCAUUUAUAACACCCUCCCAUACUAAGAAAAACCUCAUUACUCCUUUCCCAACAUCAUCAUAAUAAUAAGCGCC
RNAcentral lists this long non-coding RNA (379 nucleotides) under Gossypium raimondii (Peruvian cotton). Its description in RNAcentral is "long non-coding RNA (GRAI_LNC004091)". The record is from RNAcentral. Lineage: Eukaryota; Viridiplantae; Streptophyta; Magnoliopsida; Malvales; Malvaceae.